Molecule: ribosomal RNA, 497 nt
Filed under: uncultured bacterium
Lineage: Bacteria
Description: partial 16S ribosomal RNA
Rfam family: Bacterial small subunit ribosomal RNA
Source: RNAcentral
GAUGAACGCUGGCGGCGUGCCUAAUACAUGCAAGUCGAGCGAACAGAUGAGGAGCUUGCUCCUCUGACGUUAGCGGCGGACGGGUGAGUAACACGUGGAUAACCUACCUAUAAGACUGGGAUAACUUCGGGAAACCGGAGCUAAAACCGGAUAAUAUAUUGAACCGCAUGGUUCAAUAGUGAAAGACGGUUUUGCUGUCACUUAUAGAUGGAUCCGCGCCGCAUUAGCUAGUUGGUAAGGUAACGGCUUACCAAGGCAACGAUGCGUAGCCGACCUGAGAGGGUGAUCAGCCACACUGGAACUGAGACACGGUCCAGACUCCUACGGGAGGCAGCAGUAGGGAAUCUUCCGCAAUGGGCGAAAGCCUGACGGAGCAACGCCGCGUGAGUGAUGAAGGUCUUCGGAUCGUAAAACUCUGUUAUUAGGGAAGAACAAAUGUGUAAGUAACUAUGCACGUCUUGACGGUACCUAAUCAGAAAGCCACGGCUAACUACGUG